This 427-nucleotide ribosomal RNA is filed under the name uncultured bacterium. RNAcentral describes it as "partial 16S ribosomal RNA". It matches the Rfam family "Bacterial small subunit ribosomal RNA", at positions 354 to 796 of the family's 1533-position model. The record is from RNAcentral.
GUGGGGAAUAUUGGGCAAUGGGGGCAACCCUGACCCAGCGACGCCGCGUGAGGGAAGAAGGCCUUAGGGUCGUAAACCUCUGUUGUGUGGGAAGAAGGAAGUGACGGUACCACACGAGGAAGUCCCGGCUAACUACGUGCCAGCAGCCGCGGUAAUACGUAGGGGGCGAGCGUUGUCCGGAAUUACUGGGCGUAAAGGGCGCGUAGGCGGUCAUUUAAGUCAGCUGUGAAAUGGUCCGGCUCAACCGGAUCAUGCGGUUGAAACUGGAUGACUGGAGUGCUGGAGAGGCAAGUGGAAUUCCCAGUGUAGCGGUGAAAUGCGUAGAUAUUGGGAAGAACACCGGUGGCGAAGGCGACUUGCUGGCCAGCAACUGACGCUGAGGCGCGAAAGCCAGGGGAGCAAACGGGAUUAGAAACCCCGGUAGUCC